Molecule: long non-coding RNA, 401 nt
Filed under: Gallus gallus (chicken)
Lineage: Eukaryota; Metazoa; Chordata; Aves; Galliformes; Phasianidae
Source: RNAcentral
GUCCUCUGAAAGCUGCUUGAAGCACAACAACUGCCUCAUCCAGAGCAAUUUCUUCCUUCUUGUUUCGGUACAACCUCCACCAUCUCUGGAUACAUUUGGCUGCUUGUUCCUUCUUGCAAUCAUCUUCAUCUUUAACAGUGCAGACUGGUGAACACUUGUUAAGUUUCUUUAAUGCAUCUUCUGUCAUUUGUCUCUCCUCUUCCUCCAAUUUUGACUGUGAUUUCCCUACUUUCUCUGUAAGGUUCUGGAUUUCCUCACUUAAAGUCUGCUCUUCCUUAGUGCUUUCUUCCUUGUUAUUCUGGUACUUCUGCAGCUCCAGCUCUGCUUCAGCCUUGGCCCGAAGUAACUGCUUGAUGUCUAACUCUUUAUUAAGUAAGAGACUUUGAAGAGCACUCCUAUCA